AGGAGAGUUUGAUCCUGGCUCAGGACGAACGCUGGCGGCGUGCCUAACACAUGCAAGUCGAACGGAACUACUAGGAAGGAUCUCUUCGGAGAAACGGAAUUUUAGUUUAGUGGCGGACGGGUGAGUAACGCGUGAGUAACCUGCCUUUGAGAGGGGAAUAACGUUCUGAAAAGAACGCUAAUACCGCAUAACAUAUAUUGAUCGCAUGGUCGGUAUAUCAAAGAUUUUAUCGCUCAAAGAUGGACUCGCGUCCGAUUAGCUUGUUGGCGGGGUAACGGCCCACCAAGGCGACGAUCGGUAGCCGGACUGAGAGGUUGAACGGCCACAUUGGGACUGAGACACGGCCCAGACUCCUACGGGAGGCAGCAGUGGGGGAUAUUGCGCAAUGGGGGCAACCCUGACGCAGCAACGCCGCGUGAAGGAUGAAGGUUUUCGGAUUGUAAACUUCUUUUGUCAGGGACGAAAUUUGACGGUACCUGACGAAUAAGCUCCGGCUAACUACGUGCCAGCAGCCGCGGUAAUACGUAGGGAGCAAGCGUUGUCCGGAUUUACUGGGUGUAAAGGGUGCGUAGGCGGCUAAGCAAGUCAGAUGUGAAAUCUAUGGGCUCAACCCAUAAACUGCAUUUGAAACUGCAUAGCUUGAGUGAAGUAGAGGCAGGCGGAAUUCCCCGUGUAGCGGUGAAAUGCGUAGAGAUGGGGAGGAACACCAGUGGCGAAGGCGGCCUGCUGGGCUUUAACUGACGCUGAGGCACGAAAGCGUGGGUAGCAAACAGGAUUAGAUACCCUGGUAGUCCCCU
Molecule: ribosomal RNA, 797 nt
Filed under: uncultured Bacillota bacterium
Lineage: Bacteria; Bacillati; Bacillota
Description: bacterial SSU rRNA
Rfam family: Bacterial small subunit ribosomal RNA
Source: RNAcentral